AUAAAAGAGCUGAGUGGACCGGCGACUUUAGUACCAUCGCCGGCUCUACCAGUUCGCACUGCUGUUUCGUCAAAUACUUCAGCGAUCUUUGCAGUUCAAGACAUGGACAGCAUCUUUGCCAAGUACUUCCUUGUGGGGCUUGCUGCUGCGCUUGUUACGCUGAUCAUUGCACCGAACAAUGCCGGUGCCCUUCCUCCUGGAGUAGUCGAAACUGCCGCUAAUGCACUUUCACAGGCAUUUGGAAGAACCGAGGAAAGUGCGGAAGAAUGAAACUUUUAUCUGCGUUAUGCCUUGCGCUGGUCAUACGUUGCAUUGUACAUUGUAUGCAGCUUCUUUGAAAUAAAUAAAAUCAAUAAAUCAGAGAA
This is a long non-coding RNA of Rhipicephalus microplus (southern cattle tick), 365 nucleotides long. The record is from RefSeq and is a predicted model, not a curated record. NCBI's taxonomy places the organism in Eukaryota, Metazoa, Arthropoda, Arachnida, Ixodida, Ixodidae.